Molecule: ribosomal RNA, 825 nt
Filed under: Agaricus trisulphuratus
Lineage: Eukaryota; Fungi; Basidiomycota; Agaricomycetes; Agaricales; Agaricaceae
Description: partial large subunit ribosomal RNA
Rfam family: Eukaryotic large subunit ribosomal RNA
Source: RNAcentral
UAGUAACUGCGAGUGAAGCGGGAAAAGCUCAAAUUUAAAAUCUGGCGGUCUUUGGCCGUCCGAGUUGUAAUCUAGAGAAGUAAUGCCCGUGCUGGACCGUGUAUAAGUCUCCUGGGAUGGGGCGUCAUAGAGGGUGAGAAUCCCGUCUUUGACACGGACUACCAGUGCAUUGUGGUAUGCUCUCAAAGAGUCGAGUUGUUUGGGAAUGCAGCUCAAAAUGGGUGGUAAAUUCCAUCUAAAGCUAAAUAUUGGCGAGAGACCGAUAGCGAACAAGUACCGUGAGGGAAAGAUGAAAAGAACUUUGGAAAGAGAGUUAAACAGUACGUGAAAUUGCUGAAAGGGAAACGCUUGAAGUCAGUCGCGUUGGCCAGGGAUCAGCCUUGCUUUUGCAUGGUGUACUUUCUGGUUGACGGGUCAGCAUCAAUUUUGACCGCUGGAAAAAGGCUUGGGGAAUGUGGCAGCAUUGGCUGUGUUAUAGCCCCUGGUCACAUACAGCGGUUGGGAUUGAGGAACUCAGCACGCCGCAAGGCCGGGUUUCGACCACGUUCGUGCUUAGGAUGCUGGCAUAAUGGCUUUAAGCGACCCGUCUUGAAACACGGACCAAGGAGUCUAACAUGCCUGCGAGUAUUUGGGUGGAAAACCCGAGUGCGCAAUGAAAGUGAAAGUUGAGAUCCCUGUCGUGGGGAGCAUCGACGCCCGGACCAGAACUUUUGCGACGGAUCCGCGGUGGAGCAUGUAUGUUGGGACCCGAAAGAUGGUGAACUAUGCCUGAAUAGGGUGAAGCCAGAGGAAACUCUGGUGGAGGCUCGUAGCGAUUCUGACGUG